This 326-nucleotide long non-coding RNA is filed under the name Mytilus galloprovincialis (Mediterranean mussel). Lineage: Eukaryota; Metazoa; Mollusca; Bivalvia; Mytilida; Mytilidae. The record is from RNAcentral.
GUUCGUUUCUGUGUGUGUGUUGCAUUUUAACGUUGAGUCGUUUGUGUUUUCUCUUAUUUUUGAGAUAUUGAGAUCAGACGUGGCACGGUACUUGUCUAUCCCAAAUUCAUGUAUUUGGUUUUCAUGUUAUAUUUGUUAUUCUCGUGGUGUUUUGUCUGAUGCUUGGUCCGUUUCUGUGUGUGUUACGUUUCGGUGUGAUGUCGUUGUUCUCCUCUUAUAUUUAAUGCGUUUCCCUCGGUUUUAGUUUGUUACCCCGAUUUUGUUUUUUGUCCCUGGAUUUAUGAGUUUUGAACAGCGGUAUACUACUGUUGCCUUUAUUUCUUACA